Molecule: ribosomal RNA, 302 nt
Filed under: uncultured bacterium
Lineage: Bacteria
Description: partial 16S ribosomal RNA
Rfam family: Bacterial small subunit ribosomal RNA
Source: RNAcentral
GCAGCCGCCGCGGUAAUACGGAGGAUCCAAGCGUUAUCCGGAAUCAUUGGGUUUAAAGGGUCCGUAGGCGGUCUUGUAAGUCAGUGGUGAAAGCCCAUCGCUCAACGGUGGAACGGCCAUUGAUACUGCAGGACUUGAAUUAUUGGGAAGUAACUAGAAUAUGUAGUGUAGCGGUGAAAUGCUUAGAGAUUACAUGGAAUACCAAUUGCGAAGGCAGGUUACUACCAAUUGAUUGACGCUGAUGGACGAAAGCGUGGGUAGCGAACAGGAUUAGAUACCCCCGUAGUCCCUGUCUCUUAUAC